Molecule: long non-coding RNA, 603 nt
Organism: Branchiostoma belcheri (Belcher's lancelet)
Lineage: Eukaryota; Metazoa; Chordata; Leptocardii; Amphioxiformes; Branchiostomatidae
Exons: 3
Source: RefSeq, a predicted model, not a curated record
UCCACUUAAUCAUUAACCCGUAGCCGUUUGGACUUCAACCUGUGCCAGACUCAGUCAGAGUGCAAGUGCACGUACGCCCUAGCUCCAACUGAAGUCAUCUGACAGGAUUUUCUGCAAGGAUUUUCAGCAGGAAGGUUGGGAAAAAAAGAUGGCCGGUGUGCUCCGAGGCAGCGUCUCGCGUCUUCUCUCCACAACAGACGCCCUACCCGUCAUGAAAGCGGGGAUACAGUCCGAAGCGGCUAAGAACGUCGUGACCAAGAAAGAGCUGAUCAUAGGCGGGCUUGUCAUGGUGACGGGGAUCGGAGCCAUCCCAGCCUGGGUCACCUUCAACAUUCCCAAGUGGUCGUCACAGCCCAAGCAGUAAAAGCCGGCCCUGAUGAUGAAAGCCAAGGCAACAGCCACCACAAGGCCACUGCUGUGUGAUGACGUGUCAGCAAGAGCUGCUUAGUUCAAGUCCUAAGUGCUGCAGAUAUUUUGCGUAUUCCUGCGCAUGUAAUAUCACACUGAUUAAUACUGUAACACAGAAAUGAGUGUCUUACUGUAAAACUGAGCCUUAGACUAAAAAUUUAAAUGUGCAAUAAAAUAAAUGAAAGUCUGUCCUCA